CCAGUCGACCGGGUGGCCGCACCUUCGGGUGAGGAAAGUCCGGGCUCCAUCGAAAUACGGUGACGGCUAACGGCCGCCGGGGGUGACCCCAGGGAAAGUGCCACAGAAAGCAAACCGCCUCCGGCUUGUCCGGCGGUAAGGGUGAAAGGGUGCGGUAAGAGCGCACCGCGGACCUGGCAACAGGGACGGCAUGGUAAACCCCACCGGGAGCAAGACCAAAUAGGGGUGACGCGGCAAGGGGCAACCUUUGCCGGCCGAUUUCGAGGCCAGUCACCCGGGUUGGUUGCACGAGGACGCCAGCAAUGGCGUCACCAGAUGAAUGGCCGCCACGUCCACGCCUUCGGGCGCGGGCCCUACAGAACCCGGCUUACAGGUCGACUGGCGUU
Molecule: RNase P RNA, 386 nt
Filed under: Hyphomicrobiales bacterium
Lineage: Bacteria; Pseudomonadati; Pseudomonadota; Alphaproteobacteria; Hyphomicrobiales
Description: Rhizobiales bacterium RNase P RNA component class A
Rfam family: Bacterial RNase P class A
About the family: Ribonuclease P (RNase P) is a ubiquitous endoribonuclease, found in archaea, bacteria and eukarya as well as chloroplasts and mitochondria. Its best characterised activity is the generation of mature 5'-ends of tRNAs by cleaving the 5'-leader elements of precursor-tRNAs.
Source: RNAcentral